RNAcentral lists this long non-coding RNA (1430 nucleotides) under Falco tinnunculus (common kestrel). RNAcentral describes it as "lncRNA (ENSFTIG00000009185.1)". The record is from RNAcentral. Lineage: Eukaryota; Metazoa; Chordata; Aves; Falconiformes; Falconidae.
CUUUGACUUUGACUGCUGAGGAGUAAGAGGCAAAAAAGCUGCAAAUAUGGCCAAGACUGAAGGCAGAGGACUGGCUUAGCUGGGCAAUUCAUCUGACCCAACAGGGAAUUUAAUCUGUUUUUCACAUUCCUUACUGUCUCCCUAAAGUUACUGUACCAUUUUACUGUGUGUUAACUCAGAAGCUGUCUUCCUCUGAAAUUAUUAGAUAAUUCACUGCUAUUUACAAGCCUAUCAUUUUCCUACCACAUUGGUCAAAUUCCUAAGUAAUUAUUAUAUCACUCGUUCCAGGUCUGUAUGUUGUAGGACAGGAUGGGAGUCGAUUUAGAUUUGUAGGUACAUACUUUUUGUGCAAAUCUGUACAUUUCAGAUAGUAUGCUUCACUGUUGUGAAUCCCAUGGGAUUUUCUGAAGAUGGCUAUAAGGCCAUCUCCACCUUCAGUAGAACUGUGAGAACCUGCCUAAGAAAUAGAUCCAAGAAAUUUGCUGACAAACAUCGAGGGGAAGCAGAGCAGGGUGUUUUCCUUUUCAAACUUGCCAGAGUAGUAUGAAACCCCAUGUAUUUAGGGGGCAAACAUUUAAACUUAUAAGACCGGUAUUUGUUCUCCCUCAUCUCUGUCAUUACCCAUGCAUGGCUACUGCUCUGUCUUUAAUAUAGACCAGUUUGAGGCACAGGUGGGUCUCAAGCCAUGUUCUGUGUCAAAUAGAUACAGAAUUCUUUGGAAACAGGACUAGCUCUAUUGCUUUUGUGCCAGUCAAGCACCAAACUGUAGUGAGAGUCUCACUUUACUACUGCCUUUGGGCAAGGCCAGGCUAAGAUUUGCUGGCUGUUCCUUUAAGGAUGCUGAGAGUGGAUGUUGUAAUAAAGCCAGCUGGAAAUGUUUUCAGAGUUGUCAUUAAAGCAAGUAGAAAUACCAGAAGAACAGGAAAAGCACAAAACCCAAACAGAGUUCAGUAACUGCAAUACGCACAGGACAGCCAGAAGAAAGACUGGAAAUAAUAAAAGAGGACCUUUCCCUUGGAAGCAAGAAAGGAAGAGCUCCAGCGGACAAGAUUGAAAAUAGGAUGUCCGUAUCCAAAGUGGAUUUCUGACACAGUGAAUUCCAGCUGAGGAUCUGGCCUGACAUUCUUUCUGUAUCUGUUAGUGACUCUCAUCUGCUGGGGUCCAGAGUUACCAGCUCUCUGUGACAGGAAAGGCACAGCACACCUAGGAGGCAAAGGAGAAAAAACAGCAGUUGUGAACUAAGUACUUGUCAUUCAACAUGGUGCUUGGCGAUGAUCAGUGCUCAACCCUCUUCAGCAGCUUUUGCCUCGAAAGGCUUUCGCUGUGGUUAGCUUUGUCAAUGCAGAUUGAGUGACAGUGUCAUUUGUCUCGAAGUUAAAGAUCGUCCAAGUCAUUUUUUAUACACUGUUUACAAAGACAGAGAAACAGCA